RNAcentral lists this ribosomal RNA (388 nucleotides) under uncultured bacterium. Its description in RNAcentral is "bacterial SSU rRNA". It matches the Rfam family "Bacterial small subunit ribosomal RNA", at positions 30 to 417 of the family's 1533-position model. The record is from RNAcentral.
AUUGAACGCUGGCGGAAUGCUUUACACAUGCAAGUCGAGCGGCAGCACGGGGGCAACCCUGGUGGCGAGCGGCGAACGGGUGAGUAAUACAUCGGAACAUGCCCAGUCGUGGGGGGAUAACACUUCGAAAGAAGUGCUAAUACCGCAUACGUCCUGAGGGAGAAAGCGGGGGAUCGCAAGACCUCGCGCGAUUGGAGUGGCCGAUGUCAGAUUAGCUAGUUGGUGGGGUAAAGGCCUACCAAGGCAACGAUCUGUAGCUGGUCUGAGAGGAUGAUCAGCCACACUGGGACUGAGACACGGCCCAGACUCCUACGGGAGGCAGCAGUGGGGAAUUUUGGACAAUGGGGGCAACCCUGAUCCAGCCAUUCCGCGUGAGUGAAGAAGGCCU